UGCCUUGGAGCUCGAUGGUAGAGCAGCCGUUUGCAUCACGGCGUGAGCAGGUUCGAUUCCUGACAAGGCAA
RNAcentral lists this transfer RNA (71 nucleotides) under Bacteroidales bacterium. RNAcentral's name for it is "tRNA-Cys". It matches the Rfam family "tRNA". Rfam says of the family: Transfer RNA (tRNA) molecules are approximately 80 nucleotides in length. Their secondary structure includes four short double-helical elements and three loops (D, anti-codon, and T loops). Further hydrogen bonds mediate the characteristic L-shaped molecular structure. tRNAs have two regions of fundamental functional importance: the anti-codon, which is responsible for specific mRNA codon recognition, and the 3' end, to which the tRNAs corresponding amino acid is attached (by aminoacyl-tRNA synthetases). tRNAs cope with the degeneracy of the genetic code in two manners: having more than one tRNA (with a specific anti-codon) for a particular amino acid; and 'wobble' base-pairing, i.e. permitting non-standard base-pairing at the 3rd anti-codon position. RNAcentral also lists the same sequence under 1 other name. The record is from RNAcentral. Lineage: Bacteria; Pseudomonadati; Bacteroidota; Bacteroidia; Bacteroidales.